RNAcentral lists this long non-coding RNA (737 nucleotides) under Anas platyrhynchos platyrhynchos (common mallard). RNAcentral describes it as "lncRNA (ENSAPLG00000019814.1)". The record is from RNAcentral. Lineage: Eukaryota; Metazoa; Chordata; Aves; Anseriformes; Anatidae.
AUAAAAUCAAGUAAGAUGUCUGAAGCUCAGUUUGAAAUGUGCAGAAGUUUUCCUAGUGACAUGAAUUGAGCCAGCUUUAGGGUCUAAAUCAUUUAUGACUGAUCCUGUCUUACCUUACCUUGGCUGUGAUCAUUAGCAUUUUGAGGAUAGAAUUUCCAGUAAGUAUGACAUGCUGCUAGUAUAUUUAGUCUCAGACUAUAAAUACCAAUAUUCCAUUUCCUUUUAAGUAUCUUUAACUUCCAGGAAGAUGUUUUUACUUUCAGAAGUAAGAUCUAUCUCAGUAUAUUGCAGAUAGGCACAUUACAUGGCUGGAGAGAUUCCAUGGGUUUCAUCAGUCUUUGUCUGUUAACUUUGAAUGAGAGUGACAGGAACCCCUUCAGCUGGAUUUCAGUUGGAUUUUUACAUGAGACAGAUUUGACCAGCAGAGGAUCUUUUCCUUAAUUUCGUAUUUUUGCAUUCUUUCAAAAGUUUUCUAUAACAUUUGUUUCUUUCUACAUCUUUCCAGGGUGAACCAGCCUUCCUGGAACUCAGCAAGUCCCGUCUGUCACUGAGAGACCUGAAAAUAAAACAGCUCCAAUGGCACCAACUACAGAAAAAUAAAACGAACCGAAGUUACCACUCGCCCAGACUGGUGAUGAUUGCAGCUCCUCUCCCUCAUCACAGCUCUGCAGCUGUUUGUUGUCAGAGUGGAAAGUACAAGCCCUGGCAUUUCUCCUCUCUGCCGUACUCUGGAUGGC